CCUACGGGUGGCAGCAGUGGGGAAUAUUGGACAAUGGGGGCAACCCUGAUCCAGCCAUGCCGCGUGUGCGAAGAAGGCCCUCGGGUUGUAAAGCACUUUCAGUGAGGAAGAACGCCUGGUGGUUAAUACCCAUCAGGAAAGACAUCACUCACAGAAGAAGCACCGGCUAACUCCGUGCCAGCAGCCGCGGUAAUACGGAGGGUGCGAGCGUUAAUCGGAAUUACUGGGCGUAAAGCGCGCGUAGGUGGCUUGAUAAGCCGGUUGUGAAAGCCCCGGGCUCAACCUGGGAACGGCAUCCGGAACUGUCAAGCUAGAGUGCAGGAGAGGAAGGUAGAAUUCCCGGUGUAGCGGUGAAAUGCGUAGAGAUCGGGAGGAAUACCAGUGGCGAAGGCGGCCUUCUGGACUGAUACUGACACUGAGGUGCGAAAGCGUGGGUAGCAAACAGGAUUAGAUACCCGUGUAGUC
RNAcentral lists this ribosomal RNA (465 nucleotides) under Vreelandella stevensii. Its description in RNAcentral is "partial 16S ribosomal RNA". It matches the Rfam family "Bacterial small subunit ribosomal RNA", at positions 338 to 795 of the family's 1533-position model. Lineage: Bacteria; Pseudomonadati; Pseudomonadota; Gammaproteobacteria; Oceanospirillales; Halomonadaceae. The record is from RNAcentral.